UGCCAUAUUAAAUGGAAAAAAGACCAGGUCCCAGGUGAAGACCAAAUUGCAUAACUGCUAAAUAUGUGCAGAGGGCCAGAGUUACAUCCCAUGUACAGUCUAUGGUUCAAAGUUCAGGUUUUGUGAGCACCUAUGGGCCCAGUGAGAACACACAAAGAGGACAGCAUCUGGGAACUGCAUGUCAACCUUCAAGGCCAGCACUCACAGACUCACUUCCUGGAAGGCCAUGAAUCAAGCUUUCAAAGAUACUGGGGUUAUUUCAUAUCUGUAUACAAAGGCAGGUGAUGGAUAUAGAGGGAAAAUUAAGAUAAACUAUAGAU
Mastomys coucha (southern multimammate mouse) is the source of this 320-nucleotide long non-coding RNA. RefSeq lists it as uncharacterized. The transcript is spliced from 3 exons. The record is from RefSeq and is a predicted model, not a curated record. Lineage: Eukaryota; Metazoa; Chordata; Mammalia; Rodentia; Muridae.